This 985-nucleotide long non-coding RNA is filed under the name Mus musculus (house mouse). Its description in RNAcentral is "long non-coding RNA chr9:12865432-12866417". The record is from RNAcentral. Lineage: Eukaryota; Metazoa; Chordata; Mammalia; Rodentia; Muridae.
AUGGUGAAGAUUAGAGUGAACAAACUUGGCUGUAUUGGAUGUCUGGUUACCAGGGCUGCCAACUCCUCUGGUAAAGUGAAUAUUGUUGCCAUCAAUGACCCUUUCAUUGACCUCAUCUACAUAGUCAAAUAUUUCUGUAGGAGUCUUUCCAUGGCAAGUUCAAGGGCACAUGCAAGACUGAGAAUGGGAAGCUUGCCAUCAAAAGGAAACUCAUCAUCAUAUUUUAGGAGCAAGGUCCCACUAACACCAAAUGAAGUGAUGCUGACGCCAAGUAUGCUGUGCAGUCUACUGGAAUAUUCACCACCAUGAAGAAGACUGGGGCCCACUUAAAAGAUGGGGCAAAAGAGCUAUCACCUCUGCCCCUUCUGCCAAUGCCCCAUGUUUAUAAUGGAUGUAAACCAUGAGAAGAAUGAAGGCUCACUCAAGAUUGUCAGCAAAGAUUUGUCCACCAAGAUUAUUCCCGUUAACCAAGGUCAUCCAUGAAAACUAUACAUUGCAGAAGGUCUUAUGACCACAGUCCAUGCCAUUACUGCCACUCAAAAUACUGUGGAUGACCCCUCUAGAAAGCAUCAGUGUGAUGGUCAUGGGGCUGCCCAGAAUAUCAUCUCUGCAUCCACUGGUGCUGCCAAGGUUAUGUGCAAGAUGAUCCCAGAGCUGAACAGGAAUCACACUCUCAUGGCCUUCCAUGUUCCAAUGUGCCCUUCAUAGAUCUGACAUGCCAUCUUAAGGAAGCUGUGAAGUAUUAAAACAUUAAGAAGGUAGUGAAGCACAUGUCUGAGGGUCCAGUAAAGGGCAUCUGGCCUAAACUGAGGAUGAGCUUGUCUCUUGCAACUUUAAUAGCGACUCUUACUCUUCCACCUUUGAUGCUGAGGCUAUCAUUGCUCUUGAUGAGAACUUUCUAAAGCUCAUUUUCUGGUAUGACAAUGACUACAGCUAUAGCAACAGGAUAGUGGACCUCAUGGCCUAUAUGGCCUCCAAGGAGUAA